This 433-nucleotide ribosomal RNA is filed under the name uncultured bacterium. Its description in RNAcentral is "partial 16S ribosomal RNA". It matches the Rfam family "Bacterial small subunit ribosomal RNA", at positions 29 to 507 of the family's 1533-position model. The record is from RNAcentral.
AACGAACGCUGGCGGCAUGCCUAACACAUGCAAGUCGAACGAGACCUUCGGGCCUAGUGGCGCACGGCUGCGUAACGCGUGGGAACCUGCCCUUAGGUUCGGAAUAACUCCCCGAAAGGGGUCCUAAUACCGGAUAAUGUCUUCGGACCAAAGAUCUAUCGCCUUUGGAUGGGCCCGCGUUGGAUUAGCUAGUUGGUAGGGUAAAAGCCUACCAACGCGACGAUCCAUAGCUGGUCUGAUAGGAGGACAAGCCACACUGGAACUGAGACACGGCCCAGACUCGUACGCAAGGCUGCAGAGUGGAGCAUAGGGGGAGGGGGGCAGGCAUGAUCCAGCCGUGCCGCGUGAGAGGUGAAGGGCUUAGGAUUGUAAUGCCCUUUUUGCCGGGAUGUGAGUGACGGUACCGGGUGAAGAAGCUCCGGCUAACUACGUG